CCNGUGGCGAAGNCGGCCAACUGGGCUUUUACUGACGNUGAGGCUCGAAAGCGUGGGGAGCNAACAGGAUUAGAUACCCUGGUAGUNCACGCCGUAAAACGAUGAAUACUAGGUGUGGGGGGACUGACCCCUUUCCGUGCCGCAGUUAACACAAUAAGUAUUCCACCUGGGGAGUACGGCCGCAAGGUUGAAACUCAAAGGAAUUGACGGGGGCCCGCACAAGCAGUGGAUUAUGUGGUUUAAUUNGAAGCAACGCGAAGAACCUUACCAGGUCUUGACAUCGUGCGCAUAACCCAGAGAUGGGUGAAGCCCUUCGGGGCGCAUAGACAGGUGGUGCAUGGUUGUCGUCAGCUCGUGUCGUGAGAUGUUGGGUUAAGUCCCGCAACGAGCGCAACCCUUACGAGUAGUUGNUACGCAAGAGCACUCUACUAGGACUGCCGUUGACAAAACGGAGGAAGGUGGGGAUGACGUCAAAUCAUCAUGCCCCUUAUGACCUGGGCUACACACGUAAUACAAUGGCGGUCAACAGAGGGAAGCGAAACCGCGAGGUGGAGCGAAUCCUCAAAAGCCGUCUCAGUUCGGAUUGCAGGCUGCAACUCGCCUGCAUGAAGUCGGAAUUGCUAGUAAUCGCGGAUCAGCACGCCGCGGUGAAUACGUUCCCGGGCCUUGUACACACCGCCCGUCACACCAUGGGAGUCGGUAACACCCGAAGUCGGUAGCCUGACAGCAAUGAGGGCGCCGCCGAAGGUGGGAUUGAUGACUGGGGUGAAGUCGUAACAAGGUAGCCGUAUCGGAAGGUGCGGCUGGAUCACCUCNUU
This 818-nucleotide ribosomal RNA is filed under the name uncultured bacterium. RNAcentral describes it as "bacterial SSU rRNA". It matches the Rfam family "Bacterial small subunit ribosomal RNA", at positions 708 to 1533 of the family's 1533-position model. The record is from RNAcentral.